This 79-nucleotide transfer RNA is filed under the name Gemmatimonadota bacterium. Its description in RNAcentral is "Gemmatimonadetes bacterium tRNA-Leu". It matches the Rfam family "tRNA". Rfam says of the family: Transfer RNA (tRNA) molecules are approximately 80 nucleotides in length. Their secondary structure includes four short double-helical elements and three loops (D, anti-codon, and T loops). RNAcentral also lists the same sequence under 1 other name. The record is from RNAcentral. Lineage: Bacteria; Pseudomonadati; Gemmatimonadota.
GCGCCUGUGGUGGAAUGGCAGACACGCGGCGCUCAGAACGCCGUGCCUCGGCGUCCCGGUUCAAGUCCGGGCAGGCGCA